Molecule: transfer RNA, 72 nt
Filed under: Nematostella vectensis (starlet sea anemone)
Lineage: Eukaryota; Metazoa; Cnidaria; Anthozoa; Actiniaria; Edwardsiidae
Rfam family: tRNA
About the family: Transfer RNA (tRNA) molecules are approximately 80 nucleotides in length.
Source: Rfam by way of RNAcentral
GGCGUGAUCGUAUAGUGGUUAGUAGAUUGCGUUGUGGCCGCAGUAACCCAGGUUCCAAUCCUGGUCACUGCA